GGCAUUUACUCAGUGAGUGGAAGAGGUUUGUUUGAAACAGACCGCAAUGGAGAGACCAGCGCCCAGGGAAGCGAGGGAGCAGCAGGCUCCUUCCGGCAGCGCAUCGAGAUGUGAGUCUGGGACACAGAGGGGGCCUCCGAGACCGGCAUUGAUUCGGACUCAGUUCCGGGAGAACCGGGGGCUGUUGGCAAAUACUGGAAGGACCUGGAUGUUAUCAUAUUUCCUCGGUAGAAAGCCAUGUGUGACUAGCUGCUUCUAACAAUCAGCAGGUAUGUAGCCCAUUGACAUUGACAUCGACACCGGUUUUGAAGAUGGAUAGACUGAACGGUCAUCUGGAAUAGACACUCGGGAACAGAAUUAAAUCUGCACUGACUAAGGGCAUUUUCAAACUUACAAUCAAGACAAACAAAUAGAUCAUGCUGUAACAUAGUGGCAACAGCCAUACCUCAGUUCAGUGCAGAAAUGGGAAGAAACUGCUCACUGAGAGGACAAGAGUUACUAACAUGGAGGAAACACGUUUUUAUGAAGCUUAUCAGUAAAUGAGAAGUACAGAAUUAA
This is a long non-coding RNA of Stegostoma tigrinum, 558 nucleotides long. RefSeq lists it as uncharacterized. The transcript has 2 exons. NCBI's taxonomy places the organism in Eukaryota, Metazoa, Chordata, Chondrichthyes, Orectolobiformes, Stegostomatidae. The record is from RefSeq and is a predicted model, not a curated record.